Molecule: ribosomal RNA, 554 nt
Filed under: uncultured bacterium
Lineage: Bacteria
Description: SSU rRNA
Rfam family: Bacterial small subunit ribosomal RNA
Source: RNAcentral
GUUUAAUUCGAUGCAACGCGAAAAACCUUACCCACCUUUGACAUGUACGGAACCCUUUAGAGAUAGAGGGGUGCUCGAAAGAGAGCCGUAACACAGGUGCUGCAUGGCUGUCGUCAGCUCGUGUCGUGAGAUGUUGGGUUAAGUCCCGCAACGAGCGCAACCCUUGUCAUUAGUUGCUACAUUCAGUUGGGCACUCUAAUGAGACUGCCGGUGACAAGCCGGAGGAAGGUGGGGAUGACGUCAAGUCCUCAUGGCCCUUAUAGGUGGGGCUACACACGUCAUACAAUGGCUGGUACAAAGGGUUGCCAACCCGCGAGGGGGAGCUAAUCCCACAAAGCCAGUCGUAGUCCGGAUCGUAGUCUGCAACUCGACUACGUGAAGUCGGAAUCGCUAGUAAUCGUGGAUCAGAAUGUCACGGUGAAUACGUUCCCGGGUCUUGUACACACCGCCCGUCACACCAUGGGAGCGGGUUCUGCCAGAAGUAGUUAGCUUAACCGCAAGGAGGGCGAUUACCACGGCAGGGUUCGUGACUGGGGUGAAGUCGUAACAAGGUA